UAACAGACGCCAUCUAUUACUCCGCGCGGUCAGACAGCAGGCACAGUCAGCCGCCGCAAGAUCUAUUAUAUUAAAGGCAUGGGAAGGACCGGACCCAGCUUAAAAAUAGCGGGAAUGAAAUGCGCCGCCGCUGAUGUUUGACCAGGCUGGGUCAGAGGCUCCGGGUCAGGUCUAGCCUAUGGAGAGCACGAAUCUGCAGGCCGCGAGUAGACAACUGCGAGCGUUAGUGCUAG
Molecule: long non-coding RNA, 233 nt
Filed under: Volvox carteri
Lineage: Eukaryota; Viridiplantae; Chlorophyta; Chlorophyceae; Chlamydomonadales; Volvocaceae
Description: long non-coding RNA (VCAR_LNC001216)
Source: RNAcentral